GGGAUGCCGAUGGAACAUUUUAACAUCUCAAGUUGGUUCAUCCAACCAGAACAGUUUGGGCCUCGUUACGCUGACUUGGAUGUUGAGCCUACGUGCGAUGAAAGAGAUGAAGAUGAUGCUUUGCAGACUGACAUCUCGGAACAAACUAUUAAGAGCCUCUCCAGCUGGCGUCCAUGAGAAUAUCCCCAGUGUGUUGUGGAAGACCAGAUGCGCUCUUAGCUGCCUUUCAAGAUGCCAAAUCUUUCUCAACUUUCAUUGGUUUGGCGGGGCU
Molecule: long non-coding RNA, 271 nt
Filed under: Nicotiana benthamiana
Lineage: Eukaryota; Viridiplantae; Streptophyta; Magnoliopsida; Solanales; Solanaceae
Description: long non-coding RNA (NBEN_LNC003476)
Source: RNAcentral